GUCCACGGCGCCCGCCAUUCUGUAGCCUAUGCUCGGAGGGCACAUGAGCAAGAGCUUGACCAUCUGUACCGUUGGUUGACUUGCUCUAUUAAGGGCUAUGAUUUCAGGUCGUCCUGCGUGUUUAGAGGAGGCGAGUGGAAUCUUGAGUCUCGGCUGGAGAAGGCAGAGCACGGGCAUGCAGACCUCAAAGCCUCAAACCUGCGUGUGAGAGGAGAAGUUGGCGAGCUCCAGCGUAUGGUCCACGGAAGAUACAAGACAACAGCUUCUGCGAACCAGUAAGAGUGGCCUCAUUAGACAUUGGAUUUGCCAGUGACUUGAUCAUGGACUUCCCAGUCUCCAGGACUGUGAGUUAUAAAGGUUUGUUGUUUAAGCCACCCA
Homo sapiens (human) is the source of this 378-nucleotide long non-coding RNA. Ensembl annotates it as ZNF45 antisense RNA 1. Its record names the gene ZNF45-AS1. The record is from Ensembl. NCBI's taxonomy places the organism in Eukaryota, Metazoa, Chordata, Mammalia, Primates, Hominidae.